RNAcentral lists this transfer RNA (72 nucleotides) under Marmota monax (woodchuck). RNAcentral's name for it is "tRNA.Ala". Lineage: Eukaryota; Metazoa; Chordata; Mammalia; Rodentia; Sciuridae. The record is from RNAcentral.
GGUGGGGUAGCUCAGUGGUGGAGUGCUUGCCGAGCAUAAGCAAGGCCCUGGGUUUAAUUCCCAGUACUACAA